Cucumis melo (muskmelon) is the source of this 837-nucleotide RNA transcript. RefSeq lists it as uncharacterized. The record is from RefSeq and is a predicted model, not a curated record. The transcript is spliced from 5 exons. NCBI's taxonomy places the organism in Eukaryota, Viridiplantae, Streptophyta, Magnoliopsida, Cucurbitales, Cucurbitaceae.
AAACAAAUCUUAACUAAAAUCGAAGAGGAAACACAAAUCUGCGAUUUCGCACAGGCGAAACUGGGAGUUUCAAUUCUCUCGAAAACCCCUUUUUAUUGUCUGAUGGCAAAAUCGCUUCCAUCGCCAACUCGCUUUCAGCAAUUCGCUAAGCUCGUCUUCUCCUCCAAGAACCCCCAAUCACCCCCCAAGAAGUCUCGGAUCCGAGCUUCUCCUUCCGAAACUCCGAUUUCCGGUUCCGUCCGAGUCAUCUUGGAGCCAAAUAAGAACAAGUACAUGGAGGAGAAGGAGAAGAAUCGGACUCCUUUGUCCGAUGUGGUUUCGGAUUGUGUCAAGCGGUGGUUUCAGGACACGCUCAAGGAGGCCAAAGCCGGCGAUACGUCGAUGCAGGUCUUGGUUGGCCAGAUGUUUUGCUCCGGCUACGGAGUUCCUAAGAACACAAAGAAGGGACUUGCUUGGAUCUAUCGAGCUUCAAAAUAUCAGCCAUCAGUUUGGAAAGCAAGCGAAAGACAUCCAGGUUAUCUUGCAACCGAUUCAGAAUCAAGCAAUAGGAGAGUGAAACGAAAUGACUUCAGAUGACCCCUUCACUAAUCAUACUAAUAAUCCUUGCACCGCCAAAGUUCACAGUCAAAUGGUUACAAAUUUACAAAUUACAAGCAAUGUUGAAGAUGGUUGAUUAAUAAAUACUUAAAAGACAGGAGACGUUUUUGGGUUGAUUUUAGGGUUCCCUCUUCCUUUUUGUCGUUGGUAGACAUGAAAUGGAUGAACGUUCUUCAUGUAUAAAUUAUUAAGUGUUGUGUAUUGAAGCAGCAAUAGCAACUAGCAGCCAUUAUUAUUUCC